UUAAGUAAAUAAGGGUUUACGGUGGAUGCCUUGGCACAAAAAGCCUAAGAAGGACGUAACAGUCUGCGAUAAGCCUCGGAUAGCUGACAAUAAGCGAUUUAAUCCGGGGAUUUCCGAAUGGGGAAACCCAUCUUGAGUCAUAUCAAGAUACUCCUGGUUGAAUACAUAGACCAGGUAGAGGUAAGCUAGUGAACUGAAACAUCUUAGUAACUAGAAGAAAAGAUGCAAUUAUGUAUUCCCAAAGUAGUGGCGAGCGAAAUGGGAGUAGCCCAAACUUCACAGGUAGGGAGGGACAAUGGAGCCUGCUUUGCGGGCAAUAUUGUCAAUCCGUCGUUACAGCGAUGGUUGCAGUGAAGGGUUGUAGGGUGUAGCGUUCGUGCUCUGUAAGACACGGAAAGGAGUUAACAAGAUCAUUCUUAGCAGAAUACGGUUGGAAAGCCAAACCAUAGAGGGUAAUAGUCCCGUAUGCGAAAAGUAUGGUCCUCCUUAGUUAUAUCCCUGAGUACUACGGUCUAGGAGAAAAACCGUAGGAAUCUACCACAACCACGUGGUAAGGCUAAAUACUUUUUGUGACCGAUAGUGAACCAGUACCGUGAGGGAAAGGUAAAAAGAACCCCUGAUAGGGGAGUGAAAUAGAUCCUGAAACCGUAAACUUACAAACAGUUGGAGUCCGCUUUAUGCGGAUGACAGCGUGCCUAUUGAAGAAUGAGUCUGCGAGUUAUCUUAACUGGCAAGGUUAAUCUCCUCUGGAGAGUAGCCGGAGCGAAAGCGAGUCUGAAAGGGCGAAUUAGUCUGUUGAGAUACACCCGAAACCAGGUGAUCUAUCCAUGAGCAGGUUGAAUCCCAUCGAAAGAUAGGAGGAGGACCGAACCGGUGAGCGCUGCAAAGCUCUCGGAUGACUUGUGGUUAGGGGUUAUACGCCAAUCGAACCUGGAAAUAGCUGGCUCUCCCCGAAAUAGCUUUAGGGCUAGCCUUGAUUUUUAGCUGGUGGAGGUAGAGCUCUGCCUGGAUAGCGCGGGACAGUUUGUCUUAGCGCAUCCUCGCAAACUUCGAAUGCCAUCAGUGUUAGAUCAGGAGUCAGUCAAUGGGAGCUAAGUUCCGUUAGGCAAGAGGUAAUCAUACCAGACCAUCAGAUAAGGUCCCCAAGUUCACGCUAAGUGGUAAAGGAUGUGAAGGGUCUUAUACAGCUAGGAGGUUUGCUUAGAGGCAGCAAUCCUUUAAAGAGUGCGUAACAGCUCACUAGUCUAGAAACUCUGCACCGAUAAUUCAGCGGGGCUCAAGCGUGAUACCGAUGCUGUGGUUCCAGUAAGCUCCACCCGAGCUUUCGAUCUCAGUUUUAGUUUUCUUUAUGGAUACUUUAGAGAUUGAAAGUUGCGGUGGGGCUUACUUGGAAGGUAGGGGAGCGUUGUAAACGCAGCGAAGAUGCACUGUGAGGUGUGUUGGAGCAUUUACAAGUGAGAAUGCAGACAUGAGUAGCGCAAGGUCGGUAAAAAACCGGCCCACCGUAUGAACCAGGUUUCCUUGGCCAUGUUCGUCAUCCAAGGGUUAGUCGGUCCUAAGCCGAGGCCGAAAGGCGUAGGCGAUGGAUAACAGGUUAAUAUUCCUGUACUGCUGAAAGAUCGUUAUCAGCUAUGGGGGGACCAAGGUGGAGUAUCUGUAGACCCGAUAGGUCGGGUUCCAAGCAGCAAGUUAGUUUGAUUAGGUAAAUCCGGUCAGACGUUUUCGCUCACGGGCGAAUGAAAACGAGCUGUGAUGGGAAGUUGAAGCUCACGGGCAGAGGCAACUACAGAAAUUCAACUUGCAAGAAAAUCCUCUAUGCGAGAUCUUUUGGUAACCGUACCGCAAACCGACACUGGUGUUCUGGUAGAAUAUACCAAGGUGUACGAGUGAUCCCUUGUUAAGGAAUUCGGCAUAUUAUCUCCGUAACUUCGGGAAAAGGAGACCCCUACUUUGUAGGGGCGCAGAGAAAUGGCUCAAUCGACUGUUUAACAAAAACACAGGUUCCUGCUUAAAGCGCAAGCUGAAGUAUAGGAGCUGACGCCUGCCCAAUGUCAGUAGAUUACGGAAGGGGGUUAUCCCGUAAGGGAGAAGCUUCUGACCUAAGUCCUGAUGAAUGGCGGCUGUAACUAUAACGGUCCUAAGGUAGCGAAGUUCCUCGGCGCUUAAUAGGCGUCGCGCAUGAAUGGCGUAACGAGUUGGGCACUGUCUCGACAGGGGGCUCGGCGAACAUUGAAAUGGCAGUGAAGAUGCUGCCUACCCGCAGCAGGACAAAAAGACCCCGGGAUCUUUACUGUAUCUUGUCAUUGAGAUGAGAUUUUUAUUGUAGAGUGUAGGAGGGAGACUUUGAUAUCAGGUCGCCAGAUCUGAUGGAGUCGCCAAUGUAACACCUCCCUUUAGAGAUUUCAUUUCUAACUCGGACCGUUAUCCGGUUCGGGGACAGUGCCAGGUGGGCAGUUUUACUGGGGCGGUGUCUUACUAAAGAGUACCGUAAGAUUCCAAAGGUCGGCUCAAGAUGGAUUGGAAAUCAUCUGUAGAGCACAAUAGUAUAAGCCGGCUUUACUGCGAGACUGACAGGUCGAGCAGUUACGAAAGUAGGGUAUAGUGACCCUUUGAUGGCGUGUGGAAGCGUCAUUGUUUAAAGAAUAAAAGUUACCCCGGGGAUAACAGGCUAGUCUUGCCCAAGCGUUCACAGCGACGGCAAGGUUCGGCACCUCGAUGUCGGCUCGUCGCAUCCUGGAGGUGGAGAAGCUUCCAAGGGUCGGGCUGUUCGCCCGUUAAAGCGGCACGCGAGCUGGGUUCAAACCGACGUGAGUCAGGUUGGUCUCUAUCCGCUGCAGGCGUUAGAAUUUUGAGGGAACUGACCUUCAGUACGAGAGGAUCAAGGUGAGGUAACCUCUGGUGCACCAGUUGUCCUACCAAGGGCACGGCUGGGUAGCCACGUUGCUAUUUGGAUAAACGCUGAAAGCAUCUAAGCGUGAAGCCAAUCCCAAGAUUAGAAUUCUUUCAAGACCCCCGGUAGACUACCGGGUUGAUAGCUCCUAGGUGUAAGCUCAGUAAUGAGUUCAGCCGAGGGAUGACUAAUUGGUCGUAAACUUAAACAA
This 3101-nucleotide ribosomal RNA is filed under the name activated sludge metagenome. RNAcentral describes it as "bacterial LSU rRNA". It matches the Rfam family "Bacterial large subunit ribosomal RNA". The record is from RNAcentral.